AUGCAAGUCGAGCGAACAGAUGAGAAGCUUGCUUCUUUGAUGUUAGCGGCGGACGGGUGAGUAACACGUGGGUAACCUACCUAUAAGACUGGGAUAACUCCGGGAAACCGGGGCUAAUACCGGAUAAUAUAUUGAACCGCAUGGUUCAAUGUUGAAAGACGGUUUCGGCUGUCACUUAUAGAUGGACCCGCGCCGUAUUAGCUAGUUGGUAAGGUAACGGCUUACCAAGGCAACGAUACGUAGCCGACCUGAGAGGGUGAUCGGCCACACUGGAACUGAGACACGGUCCAGACUCCUACGGGAGGCAGCAGUAGGGAAUCUUCCGCAAUGGGCGAAAGCCUGACGGAGCAACGCCGCGUGAGUGAUGAAGGUCUUAGGAUCGUAAAACUCUGUUGUUAGGGAAGAACAAAUUUGUUAGUAACUGAACAAGUCUUGACGGUACCUAACCAGAA
RNAcentral lists this ribosomal RNA (452 nucleotides) under Mammaliicoccus lentus. RNAcentral's name for it is "bacterial SSU rRNA". It matches the Rfam family "Bacterial small subunit ribosomal RNA", at positions 55 to 488 of the family's 1533-position model. The record is from RNAcentral. Lineage: Bacteria; Bacillati; Bacillota; Bacilli; Caryophanales; Staphylococcaceae.